AAGCCAUUCCCCAGUUUUGCUUCCCUGAUGCCAAGGACUGGCUCCCUGUGUCAGAGUAUAGCAGUGAGACCUUUUCUUUCAUGCUGACUGGGGAAGAUGGCAGCAGACGCUUUGGCUACUGCAGGCGCUUACUGCCAAGUGGGAAAGGGCCCCGGUUGCCAGAGGUGUACUGUGUCAUCAGCCGCCUUGGCUGCUUCGGCUUGUUUUCCAAGGUCUUAGAUGAGGUGGAGCGCCGGCGUGGGAUCUCCGCUGCAUUGGUCUAUCCUUUCAUGAGAAGUCUCAUGGAGUCGCCCUUCCCAGCCCCAGGGAAGACCAUCAAAGUGAAGACAUUCCUGCCAGGUGCUGGCAAUGAGUUUUCAGAAGGCCUGCACAUCUAUGCUGCACACACAUGCUGUGGGACCAAGGAUGAGGCCAGGCAAACCCCAGGGACAGCUGCUUUGGCACGGCCUGAGCGUCAGCACUUCCUCCUGCCCUCACCGCUGGGGUCACUCACUACCUUUCACCCCUGUGACUCCCCCAGAGAAGUGGCUCUCUGAGCUAUGGCGCUCACCUUGGGAGCAGCCUUUGGAGGAAAGAGGGCUAGGCCUGGCCCUGAUAAGACAGUCCUGCUUCCUGGCAAGGUUGCAGAAUGGCCAGCCCUUUGCUUGUGUUUUCCUUGUGCCUGGCACGGGACUUAGGGUGAUGGAGAUAAAGGCCAGGAUAGCAGGACAAACAGCUUCUGGAACGAAACUCUUUCUGCAGGAAAGGGAGGGGGACAGGGCAACAAGGACCCCAGCAUUGCCUUUCCAGAGGCAAUGCUGGGAUUAGAGUCCUGGGAUGCGGAGAUGCCUGGAGAGCAGUGGGGUCUAGUCAGCAUUGGGGGCUUAGACCUUUGUCUGGGGAGGCGGGCAGGAGGACCCUAGAGAUGUGGCUGUGUGGUUCCCUUCUUCUCCCUAUCUCUAAGAGCAGUCAGCUCUCCUCUCUUCCUGAGGUCCUGAUGGAUGGUCCCUCAACUCCUUCCUUCUGGAGCCUUCCCCGCUUUCACAGGCAGCCCUCUUGCCCACAGGCUGGGUGUUCGAGUGCUACAAGAGCAGAGCUGUAGUCUGAGGGAUGGAGAAGAGGGGUUUACUGCAUGGCAGGGUAGACGAGAGACCUGGAAAAGAGCAGGUUGGAAGGGGAAAGCAGCCUCCAGUUGCUCCGUGGAGGGCCGGAGGGCAGCACCCACUUGGCUGGCCCCGGCCCACUUUCCCAUCGCUCUCCUGCAGGUGUUAGAGCUGCGGCGGCCCAUGGACUCAAGGCUGGAGCACGUGGACUUUGAGUGCCUUUUUACCUGCCUCAGUGUGCGCCAGCUCAUCCGAAUCUUUGCCUCGCUGCUGCUGGAGCGCCGGGUCAUUUUUGUGGCAGAUAAGCUCAGCUGCCUCUGAGCACAUUCCAGGACCAUUCUGGGAGGGAGGAUCCCAA
This 1440-nucleotide small RNA is filed under the name Pongo abelii (Sumatran orangutan). Its description in RNAcentral is "retained intron". The record is from RNAcentral. Lineage: Eukaryota; Metazoa; Chordata; Mammalia; Primates; Hominidae.